RNAcentral lists this ribosomal RNA (253 nucleotides) under uncultured bacterium. RNAcentral's name for it is "partial 16S ribosomal RNA". It matches the Rfam family "Bacterial small subunit ribosomal RNA", at positions 524 to 776 of the family's 1533-position model. The record is from RNAcentral.
UACGGAGGGGGCUAGCGUUGUUCGGAAUCAUUGGGCGUAAAGGGCGCGUAGGCGGCCGAUCAAGUCGGAGGUGAAAUCCCUCGGCUCAACUGAGGAACUGCCUUCGAUACUGUUCGGCUUGAGUCCUGGAGAGGGUGGCGGAAUUCCCGGUGUAGCGGUGAAAUGCGUAGAGACCGGGAAGAACACCAGUGGCGAAGGCGGCUACCUGGACAGGUACUGACGCUGAAGCGCGAAAGCUAGGGGAGCAAACGGG